GUAGAUCUCAAUUAAACCAAAACUUUCAUAUUCUUCAUUCUCAAAAAAAAAACCUUUGGUCUCUCUUAUCUGUCUGUCUCUCCCCUCCCUGAUCCCUUUUCUUCUCAAUCUAGAGCAAUCCCUUGCCUCUAUCUUCUCAAUGGGCUCAGACUACACUUGCACUUGUAGUGGAUUGUAAUGGAGGCUUCAAACCAUAGGCAUGUCACUGUUUGCUGCGAUGCGGCGGUCACCAGGAACGAGGCGAUGCAAAGAUAGGAGCUUUACUCAUAACUAAAGGAUAGGGAAGACAAUUGAUUCAGGAUCAUGUCAAGGAACUUCGGGAACUUGUCCCAAAUGGUGCCAAGUGCAACAUUGAUGGCAUUGAGGACUGAACAAUAAAACACAUGAUGUAUUUAAGAAGAAUGACUGACCAAGCUGAAAAAUAUGCACAUCAAGAUCAAGAGUGUAUUGGUACACUGUGGUGAGGUGCAUGGUGGACAUUACUACGCCUUUAGCAAGCCAACACUUUCUGAUCAGUGAUGCAUAAGUACACCACUCUGAAGUCUCUAAGUGCUCAUGUAUACCUUAAUUAUCUUCCUUUUUGUACAUAGUUCUUUUUGUAAGCUUACAUAUACAUGAAUUUGUUGAG
This is an RNA transcript of Fragaria vesca subsp. vesca, 628 nucleotides long. RefSeq lists it as uncharacterized. The record is from RefSeq and is a predicted model, not a curated record. The transcript has 5 exons. NCBI's taxonomy places the organism in Eukaryota, Viridiplantae, Streptophyta, Magnoliopsida, Rosales, Rosaceae.